GACGAACGCUGGCGGCGUGCUUAACACAUGCAAGUCGAACGGAAAGGCCCUGCUUUUUUGGGGUGCUCGAGUGGCGAACGGGUGAGUAACACGUGAGUAACCUGCCCUUGACUUUGGGAUAACUUCAGGAAACUGGGGCUAAUACCGGAUAGGAGCUCCUUCUGCAUGGUGGGGGUUGGAAAGUUUCGGAGGUUGGGGAUGGACUCGCGGCUUAUCAGCUUGUUGGUGGGGUAGUGGCUUACCAAGGCUUUGACGGGUAGCCGGCCUGAGAGGGUGACCGGCCACAUUGGGACUGAGAUACGGGCCAGAGUCGUACGGGAGGCAGCAGUGGGGAAUAUUGCACGAUGGGCGGAAGCCUGAUGAAGCAACGCCGCGUGCGGGAUGACGGCCUUCGGGUUGUAAACCGCUUUCGCCUGUGACGAAGCGUGAGUGACGGUAAUGGGUAAAGAAGCACCGGCUAACUACGUG
Molecule: ribosomal RNA, 468 nt
Filed under: uncultured bacterium
Lineage: Bacteria
Description: partial 16S ribosomal RNA
Rfam family: Bacterial small subunit ribosomal RNA
Source: RNAcentral